GCAGGGACAAACACAAUGAUUGUACCUGCAAAGGAAGCAUCGGCUAACUACGUGCCAGCAGCCGCGGUAAGACGUAGGAUGCAAGCGUUGUCCGGAUUUAUUGGGUGUAAAGAGUUCGUAGGCGGUAAGCAAAGUCUAAUGUUAAAUCAUAGAGCUUAACUCUAUUCAUGCAUUAGAAACUAGUUUACUAGAGCAAAGUAGGGGUCAGAAGAAUUCCUGGUGUAGCGGUGAAAUGCGUAGAUCUCAG
This 247-nucleotide ribosomal RNA is filed under the name uncultured prokaryote. RNAcentral's name for it is "partial 16S ribosomal RNA". It matches the Rfam family "Bacterial small subunit ribosomal RNA", at positions 439 to 700 of the family's 1533-position model. The record is from RNAcentral.